Molecule: ribosomal RNA, 460 nt
Filed under: uncultured bacterium
Lineage: Bacteria
Description: partial 16S ribosomal RNA
Rfam family: Bacterial small subunit ribosomal RNA
Source: RNAcentral
CCUACGGGUGGCAGCAGUGAGGAAUAUUGGUCAAUGGACGAGAGUCUGAACCAGCCAAGUAGCGUGAAGGAUGACUGCCCUAUGGGUUGUAAACUUCUUUUAUAUGGGAAUAAAACGUUCCACGUGUGGGAUUUUGUAUGUACCAUAUGAAUAAGGAUCGGCUAACUCCGUGCCAGCAGCCGCGGUAAUACGGAGGAUCCGAGCGUUAUCCGGAUUUAUUGGGUUUAAAGGGAGCGUAGGUGGAUUGUUAAGUCAGUUGUGAAAGUUUGCGGCUCAACCGUAAAAUUGCAGGUGAAACUGGCAGUCUUGAGUACAGUAGAGGUGGGCGGAAUGCGUGGUGUAGCGGUGAAAUGCUUAGAUAUCACGAAGAACUCCGAUUGCGAAGGCAGUUCACUGGACUGCAACUGACACUGAGGCUCGAAAGUGUGGGUAUCAAACAGGAUUAGAUACCCCUGUAGUC